Oncorhynchus keta (chum salmon) is the source of this 2443-nucleotide long non-coding RNA. RefSeq lists it as uncharacterized. The record is from RefSeq and is a predicted model, not a curated record. Lineage: Eukaryota; Metazoa; Chordata; Actinopteri; Salmoniformes; Salmonidae. The transcript is spliced from 3 exons.
UUGGAAGUGCUAAAAUUGUCUAUAAACUGUAAAAAAGAAAAGAAAAAAAAGAAAUGACAACCGAACCAGUUACAACUGAAGUAUCUGAUCAUCAAUGAAUUAGAGAAAAAGCAAUUUGUUUUUUUUAACAGAGCAGCUGCAUAUCAUCAGCCUACAUGUAAAAUGUAUAGGCAUGUUGUUGAAGUGUCACUCCGGUGCUCGACUUUGCAGUCUACUAACCACUGGUCCUGGCAACCUUUAAGCACACCUGGACUUCAUUACCACCCUGAUUACUCUCCCCUCAUAGCAAAUUUCUGCCUCAGAAAGUAUGGCAGCAGAAGAUUUCACCAUCUUCCACACUGUCGAGAAACACGGUCAUCUACUCCACCAACACCAUGACCAGCUGGCUCUACUGGGUAUGACCAGGAAGGAGGUUCUCCAUCCCUCUGACUGAGGGCCUCCUGCUACGGGUCGUCACAAGGAGCCAGUGCCCCAGCCUACCCAGCCGUCCACCCAGGUCAGCGAUGCCCAACUGUCCCUUCUGGAGAAGUAUUACGGCACUCCAUCGAAAUGACGUGGCUUCCUACUCCAGUGCUCCCUCUAUUUCGCCUAUCAGAUGGGAGCCCCCCACUAAGAGGUCCAGGUUGCCACUGUCAUUUCCCUGCUGACCGGAUUGGCGUUGGAGUGGGCUACGGCCGUCAGAGAGAGGAAAAGCUGGAUUCCUAUUAGGGGUUCAUGGCUCUGUUCAGGGCGGUCUUCGAAGGCAGAGAGGGAGUUGAGUGACUUUUCCACCUUCAGCAGGGUGCCCAGACCGCUGCGGUGUACUCACUCACCUUUCAGACUGUGGCAGCCUUCAGCAGAUUAAAUGAGCCAGUGCACCCCACACUAUUCUGCAGUGGACUGCGCCAAGCGGUCCAGACAGAGCUGGCAUGUCAGGAUGACUACAAAUCCUUGGACUCUCAUCGCAAUGGCCAGCCCUCUGGAUAACCUUCUUCAGGAGCGCCGGUUUCCAACUUGCCACUCACCUCCCCUCUCUCCUUUGGCUGCCCUGAAGCAGAGCCUGAACCCAUGGAGGUAGGGAUCACACACCUCUCUGUGGCAGAGCGGCUUCACCAGAGAUAGCUGAGGCUUUGUCCCUAUUGCAGCCAGGAGGAGCACCAGCUUCAGUGGUGUCCGGUGCAUCCCAACCAGGGGUCCACUAGAGCAGAGGGGCAGCCCUGUGACCUUCUGUUUCCCAGGCUAGUCAUGAGAAUUCUGUUAUCAUUGUUCUCCGCCGAAACCUUUCUGGUUCCCAUUUCUCUGGCUAGCUGUCCCUCAAGUGUUGUUUCUACAGCUUUAGUGCUCCGGUGCCGUGGGGAACUUUAUCGACCAGGCCCUUGCCACCUUGCCUCCUCCCUGAACUUAACUUCAUACCCGCUCUCCUUUUCCUGUCCAAGUCCUGGAUAUGCAACCAUUGGAAUCCGUCACAGCACCACUCACCCUCACCGGGGACCCAACCACCAGGAAAUCCUUCCCUUCCUCAUCACUUUUUACUUACUUAAGUAUAACGAGUACUUUUUCUACCACUGUACUUACGGACAUUUAAAACCAGAUCCUUUAGACUUAAGUAUUUUACUGGGUAACUUUCACUUGAGUCAUUUUCUGUUAAGGAAUCUUUUACUCAAGUAUAACAAUUGAGUACUUCUUCCACCACUGUCCUCUUGUUAGUAGUCUAAAGUCAAAUUAAAAUGAAGACUGUUUAAAUGAAUAAGGGCUUCUCGAAUUAGCCUACUUUCAGUACCCCAUCUGCACGACUGCCGCUUCAUAGUAAUCUAAAUUACUCAAGUAUUGCUUAUUGUGAGGUCAAUAACUCGCAUAUACUGUAUAGCUUCAUUAUGGGAAACAAAACAUAUUUUUAUUAAAAUUAUGGCAGUAGCAAGCUUACCUCUGGUCCUCCAUCUUUGCGCUCUCCCUCUAAGGCUAUUCUUGACUGUCGUUAAGGGGGCUCUUGUGUCAAACGCCUGUUUGUUUGCAAUUUUAACCUGCUCUGCUAUUUUCAAACUUGUGCAAGGAUAGGUCACUUACCGGUCUUAUAUCAGCUCAGAUGGGAGGGUUGGACAUAUCUGACAUGUCCUUAACAUGAUGUAAAGUGCUAAUUUCAGGCAGCACUAGUAAAGAAAUUUAAGAACAACCAAAUGCUGGUUUAAAUGGUAAAGCGGUAUAAGAAAUGGGAAACAAGCAAUUGUUACAGGAAAAUAACUUAAAAAUACUAGGUUUGCCAGUAUUCACCAUGGUUCUCAUCUGUCAUUUCAUGAUGCGCAUGGACAUAGGCUACCCUUACCCAAGGCCUACUAUAAUGAAAGCUGGUUCAAUAGCAAUGUGUCCUGUCUUUUUCUAUCCUGAAGAUUUUUACAUUUUAUAUUAAAUUAUUUUUGAAAAAAAUCAUUAACAUUUUGUUGAAUUUUAAUAAAACCAAACAGAAUGA